This is a long non-coding RNA of Bombina bombina (fire-bellied toad), 1338 nucleotides long. RefSeq lists it as uncharacterized. The record is from RefSeq and is a predicted model, not a curated record. The transcript has 6 exons. Lineage: Eukaryota; Metazoa; Chordata; Amphibia; Anura; Bombinatoridae.
CUUGGAAGGGAAUUCUACUGACUUCCUGUACACACCCAGAAAGUUACUUCUGGUACAAAAAUUGCGCCAAAACGUCAUAAGAUGUUUGUGGUUUUCAGCAGCUGGCUUGUUUGGAAUAUCUGUCUAGCUCAAAAAUGGCUCCAGUGGUUAGAAACAGGUGUUGGAUGGCAGAAUGGUUUUGUGGAAACUGCAAGCAUGUGACGGCUUAAUUUUCUUCCACAAGGUUGUGAAACCAGUUUGCAGGUGACGCUAAAGCUAACAGAUUUACAGCACCAGUUGACGUACAGCCAACACUUACAGUGCCUUGUUAAUUGUCAAAAGAAAUGUUUCUGUGCCUCCUUUUGUUAAAACAGAUGUAGCAAUGUGAAGCGUGAGGCCAUAAUGUACAAAGAGCGCUCUUCACCUCAACUGUGGUCUUCUGAAGAAAUGCCUCUGUGCAAUCGCUAGACUACUGGCAGAUGAGGUGUAGAAUGUUGAUAAAAAAAACUCACAUCCAGGCUGCAAGUUGGUAAGAACAGACUGGGGCUACUGUUGCCUUUCCCAUAUAUUAGAUUACAUUUUGUAACAAACUGCUUUAUAACUUACAAAGCAGAAACCUAAUGCUGCUGUUUAGCUAAGGUUUUAUGAUUUAAUGUUUGUUCAUUUUGAUUUUCAUCCGUUGUUCAUGUACUGAUCCAAUUGUUAUUUCUUUUUGAAAUUGCUACAACAAAGGCAUGAUGUAUACAUUGUAUUCUGUGGGCCGACUGCUCUCACCACCUGUGAUCAUGGAAAGCAGAUUCCAAUCUGUACCUUCAAAUGCCUUUUGGUUUUUUUUUUUUUGUUUUUUUUUUCUUUUCUUUUUGUCUGUUGUGAAUGUAUAUCUUUGUCUCCUGUGCAUCUCCCAUGAACAUUUGUCAAAGGUUAUCCUGUCAAGCUAAUGUUUGCUACAUGAAAAGGACACAUCUGAUGCUCAACAUGUGCUACGUCAUUCUACUCCACAAGAUGAGAUUUUGUUGGGAUUGUUAUGUAAAGUGAUCGUGUUGGGGAGAUUUACAUUUUUUUGCGUCUACACCAUUCAAGGAUUCAACGAGAUUCGUAAAUCCUCGGACGUUAUCAGAACGCCACGUUGAUGCUAAAGCACUUGGAAAAAAAUGUCUACAUGAAACCAUUUCUCCGUUACAUCAGCCCAGGUGUUUCAACAGUUGGAGUGUGUUUUGUGUAACUCUGCUGCUCUCACAACUCGGUGUACCCAUGGAAAGGGAUUGUCCUUGGCGUUCCUGUUUGAACUAUAAACCUGGCUGUUUUAAUAAAGUGUUUCUGAUGAUAUCUGUUCUGUUAAUAAAGCUGUGACUGAUCUUA